UGGGGAACCUGCCCCAUAGUCUGGGAUACCACUUGGAAACAGGUGCUAAUACCGGAUAAGAAAGCGGAUCGCAUGAUCAGCUUUUAAAAGGCGGCGUAAGCUGUCGCUAUGGGAUGGCCCCGCGGUGCAUUAGCUAGUUGGUAAGGUAAAGGCUUACCAAGGCGAUGAUGCAUAGCCGAGUUGAGAGACUGAUAGGCCACAUUGGGACUGAGACACGGCCCAAACUCCUACGGGAGGCAGCAGCU
This 245-nucleotide ribosomal RNA is filed under the name uncultured Lactobacillus sp. RNAcentral describes it as "partial 16S ribosomal RNA". It matches the Rfam family "Bacterial small subunit ribosomal RNA", at positions 118 to 355 of the family's 1533-position model. Lineage: Bacteria; Bacillati; Bacillota; Bacilli; Lactobacillales; Lactobacillaceae. The record is from RNAcentral.